GGUUGCGAUCAUACCAGCACUAAUGCACCGGAUCUCAUCAGAACUUCGCAGCUAAGCGUGCUUGGGCGAGAGUAGUACUAGGAUGGGUGACCCCCUGGGAAGUCCUCGUGUUGCAACCC
Molecule: ribosomal RNA, 119 nt
Filed under: Helianthus annuus (common sunflower)
Lineage: Eukaryota; Viridiplantae; Streptophyta; Magnoliopsida; Asterales; Asteraceae
Source: RNAcentral